This is a long non-coding RNA of Zea mays, 350 nucleotides long. RefSeq lists it as uncharacterized. Lineage: Eukaryota; Viridiplantae; Streptophyta; Magnoliopsida; Poales; Poaceae. The record is from RefSeq and is a predicted model, not a curated record. The transcript has 3 exons.
CUUGGUGAUGUUAAGGUUCUCAUGAAUGAAAUUACAUCUGUUCGAUCCAAAAGGAUAUUGCAUGAGGUUCCUAUGGAUACAGUUACAAGGUUAUUGGAUGUGAUUGACCGUUAGAUUCGAUAUUCUCAAGGUUUGUCGAUAGAUGUGAAAGAAAAUAGCCAUUUAGCGAAUUUCUUGCAUGUUAUAACUUAGCAACUAACAAAUGAUUGGAUACCUUCAGUCUGAUGUCGUUGAUGCUGAACCUCUGGUUUUCUCUGCUUUGGAGUCCAGUCAUGCUGCGUUGGCAAUUAUGACCCACCAUGAUAUGCCAAAGCAACUGUACCGAGAAGAACUUAUUGAGCGGAUUAUUG